UGGCAGUGGAAAUUGAGACGUUCUCUAUGCAUCCACACAACAGGUACAGCACAAGUAGCAGCAGUGCAAGAUUCUUUGCAAUGCUUUUGUGUGUUGGUCCAGAUUUAGGCCCAAUUCUACGUAAGUAGCUCCAUUACUCAAUGUGAGUAAAAGGGUACAGAAUUGAGUCCUUAGACCUGUAGGCCUUGUCUACA
RNAcentral lists this small RNA (194 nucleotides) under Chelonoidis abingdonii (Abingdon island giant tortoise). RNAcentral's name for it is "TUC338 (ENSCABG00000003484.1)". Lineage: Eukaryota; Metazoa; Chordata; Testudines; Testudinidae. The record is from RNAcentral.